This 75-nucleotide transfer RNA is filed under the name Clostridiales bacterium. RNAcentral's name for it is "tRNA-Glu". It matches the Rfam family "tRNA". Rfam says of the family: Transfer RNA (tRNA) molecules are approximately 80 nucleotides in length. Their secondary structure includes four short double-helical elements and three loops (D, anti-codon, and T loops). The record is from RNAcentral. Lineage: Bacteria; Bacillati; Bacillota; Clostridia; Eubacteriales.
GGCUUCAUGGUCAAGAGGUUAAGACGUCGCCCUCUCAAGGCGAAAUCACGAGUUCGAUUCUCGUUGGAGCUACCA